This 238-nucleotide unclassified non-coding RNA is filed under the name Ascomycota sp. RNAcentral's name for it is "partial contains small subunit ribosomal RNA, internal transcribed spacer 1, and 5.8S ribosomal RNA". The stretch from base 1 to 46 matches the Rfam family "Eukaryotic small subunit ribosomal RNA", at positions 1786 to 1831 of the family's 1831-position model. The record is from RNAcentral. Lineage: Eukaryota; Fungi; Ascomycota.
AAGUCGUAACAAGGUUUCCGUAGGUGAACCUGCGGAAGGAUCAUUAAAGAGAUCAUGCCCUCACGGGUAGACCUCCCACCCUUUGUUUACAAUACCUUUGUUGCUUUGGCGGGCCCGUCUCAUGACCACUGGCUUUAGCUGGUCUGUGCCCGCCAGAGAACCCCUAAUACUCUUUAUUAUGUCGUCUGAGUACUAUAAAAAUUAGUUAAAACUUUCAACAACGGAUCUCUUGGUUCUG